RNAcentral lists this ribosomal RNA (116 nucleotides) under Pteropus alecto (black flying fox). The record is from RNAcentral. Lineage: Eukaryota; Metazoa; Chordata; Mammalia; Chiroptera; Pteropodidae.
GUCUACGGCCACGCCACCCUGAACAAGCCCGAUAACUGCUCUCAGAAGCUAAAUGGGGUCGGGCCUGGUUAGUACUUGGAUGGGAGACCACCUAGGAAGACCAGGUGCUGUAGGCA